This 1341-nucleotide ribosomal RNA is filed under the name uncultured bacterium. RNAcentral describes it as "16S ribosomal RNA". It matches the Rfam family "Bacterial small subunit ribosomal RNA", at positions 28 to 1381 of the family's 1533-position model. The record is from RNAcentral.
GACGAACGUUGGCGGCGUGCUUAACACAUGCAAGUCGAACGGUAAGGCUCCAGCUUGCUGGGGUACACGAGUGGCGAACGGGUGAGUAACACGUGGGUGACCUGCCCUGCACUUCGGGAUAAGCCUGGGAAACUGGGUCUAAUACCGGAUAGGACCGCACCGUGAGGGUGUGGUGGAAAGUUUUUUCGGUGUGGGAUGGGCCCGCGGCCUAUCAGCUUGUUGGUGGGGUAAUGGCCUACCAAGGCGGCGACGGGUAGCCGGCCUGAGAGGGUGGACGGCCACAUUGGGACUGAGACACGGCCCAGACUCCUACGGGAGGCAGCAGUGGGGAAUAUUGCACAAUGGGCGGAAGCCUGAUGCAGCGACGCCGCGUGGGGGAUGACGGCCUUCGGGUUGUAAACUCCUUUCACCAUCGACGAAGGGUUUCUGACGGUAGAUGGAGAAGAAGCACCGGCUAACUACGUGCCAGCAGCCGCGGUAAUACGUAGGGUGCGAGCGUUGUCCGGAAUUACUGGGCGUAAAGAGCUCGUAGGUGGUUUGUCGCGUCGUCUGUGAAAUUCCGGGGCUUAACUCCGGGCGUGCAGGCGAUACGGGCAUAACUUGAGUACUGUAGGGGAGACUGGAAUUCCUGGUGUAGCGGUGAAAUGCGCAGAUAUCAGGAGGAACACCGGUGGCGAAGGCGGGUCUCUGGGCAGUAACUGACGCUGAGGAGCGAAAGCAUGGGGAGCGAACAGGAUUAGAUACCCUGGUAGUCCAUGCCGUAAACGGUGGGCGCUAGGUGUGGGUUUCCUUCCACGGGAUCCGUGCCGUAGCUAACGCAUUAAGCGCCCCGCCUGGGGAGUACGGCCGCAAGGCUAAAACUCAAAGGAAUUGACGGGGGCCCGCACAAGCGGCGGAGCAUGUGGAUUAAUUCGAUGCAACGCGAAGAACCUUACCUGGGCUUGACAUAUACAGGAUCGCGCCAGAGAUGGUGUUUCCCUUGUGGCUUGUAUACAGGUGGUGCAUGGUUGUCGUCAGCUCGUGUCGUGAGAUGUUGGGUUAAGUCCCGCAACGAGCGCAACCCUUGUCUUAUGUUGCCAGCACGUUGUGGUGGGGACUCGUAAGAAACUGCCGGGGUUAACUCGGAGGAAGGUGGGGAUGACGUCAAAUCAUCAUGCCCCUUAUGUCCAGGGCUUCACACAUGCUACAAUGGUCGGUACAGUGGGUUGCCAGUCCGUGAGGGCGAGCUAAUCCCGCAAAGCCGGUCUCAGUUCGGAUCGGGGUCUGCAACUCGACCCCGUGAAGUCGGAGUCGCUAGUAAUCGCAGAUCAGCAACGCUGCGGUGAAUACGUUCCCGGGCCU